This 422-nucleotide ribosomal RNA is filed under the name uncultured bacterium. RNAcentral describes it as "partial 16S ribosomal RNA". It matches the Rfam family "Bacterial small subunit ribosomal RNA", at positions 360 to 774 of the family's 1533-position model. The record is from RNAcentral.
AAUUUUGGACAAUGGGCGAAAGCCUGAUCCAGCAAUGCCGCGUGCAGGAUGAAGGCCUUCGGGUUGUAAACUGCUUUUGUACGGAACGAAAAGUCUCGGGAUAAUACCCUGGGACCAUGACGGUACCGUAAGAAUAAGCACCGGCUAACUACGUGCCAUCAGCCGCGGUAAUACGUAGGGUGCAAGCGUUAAUCGGAAUUACUGGGCGUAAAGCGUGCGCAGGCGGUUAUAUAAGACAGAUGUGAAAUCCCCGGGCUCAACCUGGGAACUGCAUUUGUGACUGUAUAGCUAGAGUACGGUAGAGGGGGAUGGAAUUCCGCGUGUAGCAGUGAAAUGCGUAGAUAUGUGGAGGAAUACCGAUGGCGAAGGCAGCCCCCUGGGAUAAUACUGACGCUCAGACACGAAAGCGUGGGGAGCAAACA